GACGAACGCUGGCGGCGUGCUUAACACAUGCAAGUCGAACGAAGAGCGAUGGAAGCUUGCUUCUAUCAAUCUUAGUGGCGAACGGGUGAGUAACGCGUAAUCAACCUGCCCUUCAGAGGGGGACAACAGUUGGAAACGACUGCUAAUACCGCAUACGAUCUAAUCUCGGCAUCGAGGAUAGAUGAAAGGUGGCCUCUACAUGUAAGCUAUCACUGAAGGAGGGGAUUGCGUCUGAUUAGCUAGUUGGAGGGGUAACGGCCCACCAAGGCGAUGAUCAGUAGCCGGUCUGGGAGGAUGAACGGCCACAUUGGGACUGAGACACGGCCCAGACUCCUACGGGAGGCAGCAGUGGGGAAUCUUCCGCAAUGGACGAAAGUCUGACGGAGCAACGCCGCGUGAGUGAUGACGGCCUUCGGGUUGUAAAGCUCUGUUAAUCGGGACGAAAGGCCUUCUUGCGAAUAGUGAGAAGGAUUGACGGUACCGGAAUAGAAAGCCACGGCUAACUACGUG
This 510-nucleotide ribosomal RNA is filed under the name uncultured bacterium. Its description in RNAcentral is "partial 16S ribosomal RNA". It matches the Rfam family "Bacterial small subunit ribosomal RNA", at positions 28 to 507 of the family's 1533-position model. The record is from RNAcentral.